RNAcentral lists this ribosomal RNA (336 nucleotides) under uncultured bacterium. Its description in RNAcentral is "bacterial SSU rRNA". It matches the Rfam family "Bacterial small subunit ribosomal RNA", at positions 190 to 507 of the family's 1533-position model. The record is from RNAcentral.
CCGUGGAAGGGGAAAGGUGGGGGAUCGCAAGACCUCACGUUAUUCGAGCGGCCGACGUCUGAUUAGCUAGUUGGUGGGGUAAAGGCCUACCAAGGCGACGAUCAGUAGCGGGUCUGAGAGGAUGAUCUGCCACACUGGGACUGAGACACGGCCCAGACUCCUACGGGAGGCAGCAGUGGGGAAUUUUGGACAAUGGGGGCAACCCUGAUCCAGCCAUUCCGCGUGAGUGAAGAAGGCCUUCGGGUUGUAAAGCUCUUUCAGCUGGAGUGAAACGGUGCGCUCUAACAUAGCGCGCUAAUGACGGUACCAGCAGAAGAAGCACCGGCUAACUACGUG